This 388-nucleotide ribosomal RNA is filed under the name uncultured bacterium. RNAcentral describes it as "bacterial SSU rRNA". It matches the Rfam family "Bacterial small subunit ribosomal RNA", at positions 30 to 416 of the family's 1533-position model. The record is from RNAcentral.
AUUGAACGCUGGCGGCAUGCCUUACACAUGCAAGUCGAACGGCAGCACGGGAGCUUGCUCCUGGUGGCGAGUGGCGAACGGGUGAGUAAUACAUCGGAACGUACCCUGAAGUGGGGGAUAACGUAGCGAAAGUUACGCUAAUACCGCAUAUUCUGUGAGCAGGAAAGAGGGGGAUCGCAGGACCUCUUGCUUUAGGAGCGGCCGAUGUCGGAUUAGCUAGUUGGUGAGGUAAAGGCUCACCAAGGCGACGAUCCGUGGCGGGUCUGAGAGGAUGAUCCGCCACGCUGGGACUGAGACACGGCCCAGACUCCUACGGGAGGCAGCAGUGGGGAAUUUUGGACAAUGGGCGCAAGCCUGAUCCAGCCAUGCCGCGUGAGUGAGGAAGGCC